UUCCAUGCAGUCGACGGCAGCAUAGGAGCUUGCUCCUGAUGGCGAGUGGCGAACGGGUGAGUAAUAUAUCGGAACGUGCCCUAGAGUGGGGGAUAACUAGUCGAAAGACUAGCUAAUACCGCAUACGAUCUACGGAUGAAAGUGGGGGAUCGCAAGACCUCAUGCUCCUGGAGCGGCCGAUAUCUGAUUAGCUAGUUGGUGGGGUAAAAGCCUACCAAGGCAACGAUCAGUAGCUGGUCUGAGAGGACGACCAGCCACACUGGGACUGAGACACGGCCCAGACUCCUACGGGAGGCAGCAGUGGGGAAUUUUGGACAAUGGGGGCAACCCUGAUCCAGCAAUGCCGCGUGAGUGAAGAAGGCCUUCGGGUUGUAAAGCUCUUUUGUCAGGGAAGAAACGGUAGUAGCGAAUAACUAUUACUAAUGACGGUACCUGAAGAAUAAGCACCGGCUAACUACGUGCCAGCAGCCGCGGUAAUACGUAGGGUGCAAGCGUUAAUCGGAAUUACUGGGCGUAAAGCGUGCGCAGGCGGUUGUGUAAGUC
Molecule: ribosomal RNA, 543 nt
Filed under: Herbaspirillum huttiense subsp. huttiense
Lineage: Bacteria; Pseudomonadati; Pseudomonadota; Betaproteobacteria; Burkholderiales; Oxalobacteraceae
Description: bacterial SSU rRNA
Rfam family: Bacterial small subunit ribosomal RNA
Source: RNAcentral